Molecule: ribosomal RNA, 406 nt
Filed under: uncultured bacterium
Lineage: Bacteria
Description: partial 16S ribosomal RNA
Rfam family: Bacterial small subunit ribosomal RNA
Source: RNAcentral
AUUGAACGCUGGCGGCAGGCCUAACACAUGCAAGUCGAACGAGUGGCGGACGGGUGUGUAAUGUCUGGAAAACUGCCUGAUGGAGGGGGCUAACUACUGGAAACGGUAGAUAAUAACGCAUACCAUCGGAUGUUCCCAGAUGGGAUUAGCUAGUAGGUGGGGUAAAGGCUCACCGAGGCGACGAUCCCUAGCUGGUCUGAGAGGAUGACCAGCCACACUGGAACUGAGACACGGUCCAGACUCCUCCGGGAGGCAGCAGUUGGGAAUAUUGAACAAGGGGCGCAAGCCUGACGCAGCCAUGCCGCGUGUAUGAAGAAGGCCUUCGGGUUGUAAAGUACUGUCAGCGGGGAGGCGUUACUCGCAGAAGAAGCACCGGCUAACUCCGUGCCAGCAGCCGCGGUAAUUC